UACGGGGGGGGCAAGCGUUGUUCGGAAUUACUGGGCGUAAAGGGCUCGUAGGCGGCCAACUAAGUCACACGUGAAAUCCCCAGGCUUAACCUGGGAACUGCGUGUGAUACUGGAUGGCUUGAAUUCGGGAGAGGGAUGCAGAAUUCCAGGUGUAGCGGUGAAAUGCGUAGAUAUCUGGAGGAAUACCGGUGGCGAAGGCGGCAUCCUGGACCGACAUUGACGCUGAACGGCGAAAGCUAGGGGAGCAAACGGG
This 253-nucleotide ribosomal RNA is filed under the name uncultured bacterium. RNAcentral's name for it is "partial 16S ribosomal RNA". It matches the Rfam family "Bacterial small subunit ribosomal RNA", at positions 524 to 776 of the family's 1533-position model. The record is from RNAcentral.